This 748-nucleotide ribosomal RNA is filed under the name uncultured Campylobacterota bacterium. Its description in RNAcentral is "bacterial SSU rRNA". It matches the Rfam family "Bacterial small subunit ribosomal RNA", at positions 579 to 1327 of the family's 1533-position model. The record is from RNAcentral. Lineage: Bacteria; Pseudomonadati; Campylobacterota.
CCCCUUAAGUUGGAUGUGAAAUCCUAUGGCUCAACCAUAGAACUGCAUCCAAAACUGAGGGGCUAGAGUCUGGGAGGGGAAGAUGGAAUUAGUGGUGUANGGGUAAAAUCCGUAGAGAUCACUAGGAAUACCAAAAGCGAAGGCGAUCUUCUGGAACAGUACUGACGCUGAGGCGCGAAAGCGUGGGGAGCAAACAGGAUUAGAUACCCUGGUAGUCCACGCCCUAAACUAUGAAUGUUAGUCGUCGGGAGGCUCGUCCUCUCGGUGAUGCAGCUAACGCAUUAAACAUUCCGCCUGGGGAGUACGGUCGCAAGAUUAAAACUCAAAGGAAUAGACGGGGACCCGCACAAGUGGUGGAGCAUGUGGUUUAAUUCGAAGAUACGCGAAGAACCUUACCUGGCCUUGACAUUGAUAGAAUCUGCUAGAGAUAGCGGAGUGCCCUUCGGGGAGCUUGAAAACAGGUGCUGCACGGCUGUCGUCAGCUCGUGUCGUGAGAUGUUGGGUUAAGUCCCGCAACGAGCGCAGCCCUCGUCACUAGUUACUAACGGUUCGGCCGAGGACUCUAGUGAGACUGCCUUCGUAAGGAGGAGGAAGGUGAGGACGACGUCAAGUCAUCAUGGCCCUUACGGCCAGGGCGACACACGUGCUACAAUGGGUAGGACAAUGAGACGCAAUACCGCGAGGUGGAGCAAAUCUAUAAACCUACUCUCAGUUCGGAUUGUAGUCUGCAACUCGACUACAUGAAGCU